GCACGGGGGCAACCCUGGUGGCGAGUGGCGAACGGGUGAGUAAUGCAUCGGAACGUGCCCAGUAGUGGGGGAUUACUAGUCGAAAGAUUAGCUAAUACCGCAUACGACCUACGGGUGAAAGCGGGGGACCUUUACCGGCCUCGCGCUAUCGGAGCGGCCGAUGUCUGAUUAGCUAGUUGGCGGGGUAAGAGCCCACCAAGGCGACGAUCAGUAGCUGGUCUGAGAGGACGACCAGCCACACUGGGACUGAGACACGGCCCAGACUCCUACGGGAGGCAGCAGUGGGGAAUUUUGGACAAUGGGCGCAAGCCUGAUCCAGCCAUGCCGCGUGCGGGAAGAAGGCCUUCGGG
RNAcentral lists this ribosomal RNA (350 nucleotides) under uncultured bacterium. RNAcentral's name for it is "bacterial SSU rRNA". It matches the Rfam family "Bacterial small subunit ribosomal RNA", at positions 71 to 422 of the family's 1533-position model. The record is from RNAcentral.